This 293-nucleotide ribosomal RNA is filed under the name uncultured bacterium. RNAcentral's name for it is "partial 16S ribosomal RNA". It matches the Rfam family "Bacterial small subunit ribosomal RNA", at positions 775 to 1067 of the family's 1533-position model. The record is from RNAcentral.
GGAUUAGAUACCCUGGUAGUCCACGCCGUCAACGAUGAGAACUAGAUGUUGGGAGGUAUACCCUCUUAGUGUCGAAGCUAACGCGUUAAGUUCUCCGCCUGGGGAGUACGGCCGCAAGGCUAAAACUCAAAGGAAUUGACGGGGGCCCGCACAAGCGGUGGAGCAUGUGGUUUAAUUCGAUGCAACGCGAAGAACCUUACCUACUCUUGACAUCCCAAGAAUCUUCUAGAGAUAGAGGAGUGCCUUCGGGAACUUGGAGACAGGUGCUGCAUGGCUGUCGUCAGCUCGUGCUG